This 291-nucleotide ribosomal RNA is filed under the name uncultured microorganism. RNAcentral's name for it is "partial 16S ribosomal RNA". It matches the Rfam family "Bacterial small subunit ribosomal RNA", at positions 505 to 796 of the family's 1533-position model. The record is from RNAcentral.
GUGCCAGCACCCGCGGUAAUACUGAGGGUGCGAGUGUUCAUCGGAUUUACUGUGCGCAUAGCCUGCGUAGGCGGCUUUUUAGUCGGAUGUGAAAUCCCCGAGCUUAACUUGGGAAUUGCAUUCGAUACUGGGAAGCUAGAGUAUGGGAGAGGAUGGUAGAAUUCCAGGUGUAGCGGUGAAAUGCGUAGAGAUCUGGAGGAAUACCGAUGGCGAAGGCAGCCAUCUGGCCUAAUACUGACGCUGAGGUACGAAAGCAUGGGGAGCAAACAGGAUUAGAUACCCUGGUAGUCC